ACGUGGAAUUUUUCGAACUUUUUGACGAACUCACUCACCGGAACGUAAUUAUACGGUGUGUUAUGAUCGAACCAGUACUGAGAUUGGUCUUUCCGAGAGGUCACUUCUUGGAGGAAAUCAGCGGCACCUUUUCUCUCCGGGCAUCGGAAACCACAGAACUCGAAGAACUCGAGGAUGUUUUCUCGUGGUCCCUGAUAGACAACUUGUCCCUCCGAGAGGAGGAUCACGUCGUCAAAGAGUUCAUAUGUCUCUGGUGCAGGUUGAAGGAGGGAGAUGACAAUUGUGGCUUCUCCGAGGUGGACGAUUUGCUGGAGACAU
This 318-nucleotide long non-coding RNA is filed under the name Zostera marina. RNAcentral's name for it is "long non-coding RNA (ZMAR_LNC000948)". The record is from RNAcentral. Lineage: Eukaryota; Viridiplantae; Streptophyta; Magnoliopsida; Alismatales; Zosteraceae.